GAUAAAUGCUGGCGGCGUGCCUAAUACAUGCAAGUCGAGCGGAAAGGCUACUUCGGUAGUACUCGAGCGGCGGACGGCAGAGUAACGCGUAGGAAUGUACCCCAAACUGAGGGAUAAUCCGCCGAAAGGCGGACUAAUACCGCAUGUGAUCUUCGGAUUAAAGCUUCGGCGGUUUGGGAGCAGCCUGCGUAAGAUUAGCUAGUUGGUAAGGUAAUGGCUUACCAAGGCGACGAUCUUUAGCUGGUCUGAGAGGAUGAUCAGCCUGACUGGAACUGAGACACGGUCCAGACUCCUACGGGAGGCAGCAGUAGGGAAUUUUCCACAAUGGGCGAAAGCCUGAUGGAGCAACGCCGCGUGCAGGAUGAAGGCCUUCGGGUUGUAAAGCACUUUCAGCGGGGAGGAAGGCGUUAAGGUUAAUAACCUUGGCGAUUGACGUUACCCGCAGAAGAAGCACCGGCUAA
RNAcentral lists this ribosomal RNA (461 nucleotides) under uncultured bacterium. Its description in RNAcentral is "partial 16S ribosomal RNA". It matches the Rfam family "Bacterial small subunit ribosomal RNA", at positions 28 to 500 of the family's 1533-position model. The record is from RNAcentral.